AUGAAGCCUGUCGCCGCGAGCGACGGGGACACAGCCGCCGCUCGUGGCGAGGAGCUGCAGCCGGCGCCCCUGCCCGAGGAUGUGCUCGCCGAAGUCCUCCGCCGCGUCCCGCCGCGCUGGAUCGCCGCCUCCCGCUGCGUCUGCACGGCCUGGCGCGACGCCAUCGAUGCGCGCGGCCUCCUGCGCGCCGACCUGCUCCCGCUCUCGCUCGCUGGCCUCUUCGUCCACUUCGACGAGCACAAGUAUCCCGAAUUC
RNAcentral lists this ribosomal RNA (255 nucleotides) under Triticum aestivum (bread wheat). Its description in RNAcentral is "partial small subunit ribosomal RNA". The record is from RNAcentral. Lineage: Eukaryota; Viridiplantae; Streptophyta; Magnoliopsida; Poales; Poaceae.